CCAAGCUGUUCCAGCCGCUAGGCAGGCGCCUCGGAGGCGGGUACAGGCCAUUUUCCCACCAGCCUGGUCCAGGUGGCCUGGAGGCUGCAGGGGUCGUCUGGGAACAGGUCCUGCCCCUGAUUGAGGCAUGAAAUCUGGGUCUCUCAGACCUGACGGACUUUCGGGAUCAUCUUCCUAGGUCCCCACAAAGUGCCUGAAGACAGGAAACAUUUGGUGUGCUUGACGGGGACUAUGAGAUCUUAUGGCAUCUCAAAGGGCAGAAGUCUGGACAGGAAGACCAAUUGCAUGGUAGAGGAUUCCCCAAGUAGACCACGUGUGUGCCAGCCCAGCAGGCAAACUGCCCCAUAUGUGUUUGUCCGUCAACUGUGCGUGCAGAGCUUUACUCUCGUGCAUGACACAGGAAGCCCACGGGACGCUCCCCCAGCACGCCCCGCUGCCUCGGCACUCCUGGAAGGAAGACCUGUUCUUGUUUCUUCCGUACUCUCAGGAUCUGGCACAGAACCCGACAAAGGAAAUAUUUAAUGAACUAUGGCAUAGACCUGGCCCUGAACAAGACCCUGGGACCUUGUUCCAGAAGCAGCAAGGUGCAGCUUCUGCCCUCAGCAACCUCACUAAUGGACGCUGCACAGUGGGCGGCAAGCGACACCAGAGAGCAUCAGGAUUAGGAAGUCUGUUCGGAUUAGUGUGGAAUCAGAUAUGACUUGCAGAUGUCGAGAUGGAACCUCACCAGGGCUUCCUUCUGAAAGGAAACUUCCAGAAAGCAGCAGACAGACCACAGAACAUCCUUCCUAGAAAAAGAUAAGUCAUCUAUAGACCAGCAACAGCUCUGAUCACAUGACUGCAAGCAAGGUUUCCAAAGAAAUCAAAAUGAUAGCUUAAAGAAUGAGCAUGGAAAAUUUCUUUGUAGAAAGAUUCAAAUUCACAAUGUGACCAAUUAAAAGGAAUCCUAGCGUACAUUUUUUUUUCUCAAAAAAAUUUCACAAAUACUGUCUUAUUUGAUUCUCAUAUUAACCUGUGGAUAUGGGCUGUGAAUAUGAGCCAUGAAGACAUUAUUCUCCACUUUAUAAUUGAGAGAAGGGAGGGAGGACAUCAGUGACUCGCAUCUCAGGGUACAUGACAGUGAGUGAUUGAGACAGACUUGGGUCUUUUGGUUACUCCUAGUACAGUGCUCUCUCCACCUCAUCCUGCCUUUACAAACUGGAAGCAGGUUAAGUAGCAAUUCAUUUAUUUUUCUUUCAGAAAGAAAUACAUCUUUAAAAGAAUGAGGAUCAAAAAUUGUGUAAAUAGAUGAGGCUGGCGCAGUGGCUCAUACUUGUAAUCCCAGCAUUUUGGGAGGCUGAGGCAGGUGGAUCACCUCAGAUCAGGAGUUCGAGACCAGCCUGGACAAUAUGGCCAGACCCUAUCUCUACUAAAAAUAAAAAAAAUUAACUGGGUGUAAUGGUGGAACCUGUAAUCCCAGCUACUCGGUAGGCUGAGGUAGGGAUAAUUACUUGAACCCAGGAAGUGGAGGUUGCAAUGAGCUGAGAUGGUGCCACUGCACUCUGGCCUGGGCAACAGAGCAAGAUUCUGUCUCAAAAAAAAAAAAAAAAAGUUGUAUAAAUAAAUGUAAAAAAUUCAAGUAUCUUCAUUCUAUUUUAUAAUAUAGUCAAGGUGUUUUUUGAUUUUCUUUUUUAAGGUAGAAAAACUGAGGGGCAGAGGUAAGUAGAGACAAAGGGA
Macaca nemestrina (pig-tailed macaque) is the source of this 1716-nucleotide long non-coding RNA. The record is from Ensembl. NCBI's taxonomy places the organism in Eukaryota, Metazoa, Chordata, Mammalia, Primates, Cercopithecidae.